CCCUUAGAUGUCCUGGGCCGCACGCGUGCUACACUGACGCCUACAGCGAGUACUUCCCAGCCCCGAGAGGCGGCUGGUAAUCAGCAAUAGGCGUCGUGAUGGGGAUAGAUCUUUGGAAUUAUGGAUCUUGAACGAGGAAUGCCUAGUAAGCGCAGGUCAUUAGCCUGCGCUGAUUACGUCCCUGCCCUUUGUACACACCGCCCGUCGCACCUACCGAUUGAAUGGUCCGGUGAAAUCUCGGGACGGCGGCUUGGUCGCUUGCGUCCGACUGCUGAAACUUGAUUAAACCAUAUCAUUUAGAGGAAGGUGAAGUCGUANCA
RNAcentral lists this ribosomal RNA (320 nucleotides) under uncultured eukaryote. RNAcentral describes it as "partial 18S ribosomal RNA". It matches the Rfam family "Eukaryotic small subunit ribosomal RNA", at positions 1470 to 1796 of the family's 1831-position model. The record is from RNAcentral.